CUCAUAUACACAUUUUAUAGGCAAACUGGAUACCUUUAUAUUUGAACUUGUAAGGUCAGUUUGCCUACUUGAAAUUGUACAAACAUUUUUGUAUUCUGUAAAAAUAAGAGGUAUGAUCGACAAUGAGAAACUCUCCAUCACAAACCAAAUGAGGUAGAAUUUAGCAACUAUAUGUUACUACAACCUUUAACCAUGAGCAAAACCCAUAAGACAUAGCAAGCUAUAAAAGGUUCUGAAAUGAAAAAUGUAAACCAAUUUAAAUGUAAAAACUAACAUUCAAUAUAAAAAAAGAAGAUGUGGUAUGAUUGCCAAUGAGACAACUCUCCACAAGAGACCGGCAAAAUUCAGAAAUUAACAACUAUAGGUCACUGUAUGGCCUUUAACAACGAGCAAAGCACAUACUGCAUAGUCGGCUAUAAAAGGCCCUGAAAUGACAAUGUAAAACAAUUCAAACAAGAAAACUAACGGCCUUAUUUAUGUACCAAAAAUGAAACAAAAACAAAUAUGUACCG
RNAcentral lists this long non-coding RNA (512 nucleotides) under Mytilus galloprovincialis (Mediterranean mussel). The record is from RNAcentral. Lineage: Eukaryota; Metazoa; Mollusca; Bivalvia; Mytilida; Mytilidae.